Molecule: long non-coding RNA, 385 nt
Organism: Belonocnema kinseyi
Lineage: Eukaryota; Metazoa; Arthropoda; Insecta; Hymenoptera; Cynipidae
Exons: 3
Source: RefSeq, a predicted model, not a curated record
UCGCGCAACGCUGCCGGCCUUGGCAUGUCAGCUGAUGAGUGCUUACAGUGAGUUGCUAGUCGUCCGUUUGAGUGAAAAAGUUGUACAUCAUCAAUCGUCAACUUAUCAUCAACGUAAGCUUGCACCUUCAGCUGAUGAGAUGAUCAAUCUUUAGUAUCAACUUCACGAUCUAAUUGAUACUUGGAGCAAAUUUAUCUUAUAGGGGGAGCCACUUACCCCCGAAAUAUGGGUCACAUCCUGGCGGGGGCACCCAGACCAUGCUUAUCCUCCUACGGCCUUUAAAUUGUACGAUUUCUUUCUAAUUAUCGUUUGGUCGAAACGGCGAAAAUUUAAUACAAAUUGGAAGAGAGAAGCGAAAACCUCGUGCGUUCAGAGCUGAUAACGA